RNAcentral lists this transfer RNA (66 nucleotides) under Ecnomus latus. RNAcentral's name for it is "tRNA-Ser". Lineage: Eukaryota; Metazoa; Arthropoda; Insecta; Trichoptera; Ecnomidae. The record is from RNAcentral.
GAAAUGAAAAUUAAUAUUUAAGCUUCUAACUUAAUUACUAGUGUUAUUAUAAACAUUAUCAUUUUU